GAAGGUGUGUCGUGAGGCAUGCUGGAGGUAUCAGAAGUGCGAAUGCUGACAUAAGUAACGAUAAAGCGGGUGAAAAGCCCGCUCGCCGGAAGACCAAGGGUUCCUGUCCAACGUUAAUCGGGGCAGGGUGAGUCGACCCCUAAGGCGAGGCCGAAAGGCGUAGUCGAUGGGAAACGGGUUAAUAUUCCCGUACUUGGUGUUACUGCGAAGGGGGGACGGAGAAGGCUAUGUUGGCCGGGCGACGGUUGUCCCGGUUUAAGCGUGUAGGUGUGUGUUCCAGGUAAAUCCGGUUCACUUUAACACUGAGGCGUGACGACGAGGCACUACGGUGCUGAAGCAACAAAUGCCCUGCUUCCAGGAAAAGCCUCUAAGCAUCAGGUAACACGAAAUCGUACCCCAAACCGACACAGGUGGUCAGGUAGAGAAUACCAAGGCGCUUGAGAGAACUCGGGUGAAGGAACUAGGCAAAAUGGUGCCGUAACUUCGGGAGAAGGCACGCUGACACGUAGGUGAAGUGAUUUACUCAUGGAGCUGAAGUCAGUCGAAGAUACCAGCUGGCUGCAACUGUUUAUUAAAAACACAGCACUGUGCAAACACGAAAGUGGACGUAUACGGUGUGACGCCUGCCCGGUGCCGGAAGGUUAAUUGAUGGGGUCAGCG
Molecule: ribosomal RNA, 660 nt
Filed under: Salmonella enterica
Lineage: Bacteria; Pseudomonadati; Pseudomonadota; Gammaproteobacteria; Enterobacterales; Enterobacteriaceae
Description: partial 23S ribosomal RNA
Rfam family: Bacterial large subunit ribosomal RNA
Source: RNAcentral